This is a non-coding RNA of Ancylostoma ceylanicum, 45 nucleotides long. NCBI's taxonomy places the organism in Eukaryota, Metazoa, Nematoda, Chromadorea, Rhabditida, Ancylostomatidae. The record is from Rfam.
CCAACGGCCCUCUUUAGGGCCACAAAUUUUGUCGAAUACUCUUUG